Molecule: ribosomal RNA, 455 nt
Filed under: uncultured bacterium
Lineage: Bacteria
Description: bacterial SSU rRNA
Rfam family: Bacterial small subunit ribosomal RNA
Source: RNAcentral
AUUGAACGCUGGCGGCAUGCCUUACACAUGCAAGUCGAACGGUAGAGGGGCAACCCUCGAGAGUGGCGAACGGGUGAGUAAUGCAUCGGAACGUACCCAGUUGUGGGGGAUAGCUCGGCGAAAGCCGGAUUAAUACCGCAUACGCACUGAGGUGGAAAGCGGGGGACUCGCAAGGGCCUCGCGCAGUUGGAGCGGCCGAUGUCAGAUUAGCUAGUUGGUGGGGUAAAGGCCUACCAAGGCGACGAUCUGUAGCUGGUCUGAGAGGAUGACCAGCCACACUGGGACUGAGACACGGCCCAGACUCCUACGGGAGGCAGCAGUGGGGAAUCUUAGACAAUGGGCGCAAGCCUGAUCUAGCCAUGCCGCGUGAGCGAUGAAGGCCUUAGGGUUGUAAAGCUCUUUCAGGGGGGAAGAUAAUGACUGUACCCCCAGAAGAAGCCCCGGCUAACUCCGUG